GAUGAAGAACGUAGCAAAAUGCGAUAAGUAAUGUGAAUUGCAGAAUUCAGUGAAUCAUCGAAUCUUUGAACGCACAUUGCGCCCGCCAGUAUUCUGGCGGGCAUGCCUGUUCGAGCGUCAUUACAACCCUCAGGCCCCCGGGCCUGGCGUUGGGGAUCGGCGAGGCGCCCCCCGCGGGCACGCGUCGUCCCCCAAAUACAGUGGCGGUCCCGCCGCAGCUUCCAUUGCGUAGUAGCUAACCCCUCGCAACUGGAGAGCGGCGCGGCCAUGCCGUAAAACACCCAACUUCUGAAUGUUGACCUCGAAUCAGGUAGGAAUACCCGCUGAACUUAAGCAUAUCAAUAAGCGGAGGA
RNAcentral lists this unclassified non-coding RNA (353 nucleotides) under soil metagenome. Its description in RNAcentral is "partial contains 5.8S ribosomal RNA, internal transcribed spacer 2, and large subunit ribosomal RNA". The stretch from base 1 to 120 matches the Rfam family "5.8S ribosomal RNA", at positions 35 to 154 of the family's 154-position model. The record is from RNAcentral.